Molecule: ribosomal RNA, 753 nt
Filed under: uncultured Glomus
Lineage: Eukaryota; Fungi; Glomeromycota; Glomeromycetes; Glomerales; Glomeraceae
Description: SSU rRNA
Rfam family: Eukaryotic small subunit ribosomal RNA
Source: RNAcentral
GGCCUACCAUGGUGGUAACGGGUAACGGGGUGUUAGGGCACGACACCGGAGAGGGAGCCUGAGAAACGGCUACCACAUCCAAGGAUGGCAGCAGGCGCGCAAAUUACCCAAUCCCGACACGGGGAGGUAGUGACAAUAAAUAACAAUACGGGGUUCUUUCGGAUUUCGUAAUUGGAAUGAGUACAAUUUAAAUCUCUUAACGAGGAACAAUUGGAGGGCAAGUCUGGUGCCAGCAGCCGCGGUAAUUCCAGCUCCAAUAGCGUAUAUUAAAGUUGUUGCAGUUAAAAAGCUCGUAGUUGAAUUUCGGGGUUAGUAGGUUGGUCAUGCCUCUGGUAUGUACUGGUCUCACUGAUUCCUCCUUCCUGAUGAGCCGUAAUGCCAUUAAUUUGGUGUUGCGAGGAAUCUGGACUGUUACUUUGAAAAAAUUAGAGUGUUUAAAGCAAGCUAACGCUUGAAUACAUUAGCAUGGAAUAAUGAAAUAGGACGUUCGAUCCUAUUUUGUUGGUUUCUAGGAUUGACGUAAUGAUUAAUAGGGAUAGUUGGGGGCAUUAGUAUUCAAUUGUCAGAGGUGAAAUUCUUGGAUUUAUUGAAGACUAACUACUGCGAAAGCAUUUGCCAAGGAUGUUUUCAUUAAUCAAGAACGAAAGUUAGGGGAUCGAAGACGAUCAGAUACCGUCGUAGUCUUAACCAUAAACUAUGCCGACUAGGGAUCGGAUGAUGUUAAUUUUUUAAUGACUCAUUCGGCGCCUUACG